This 1120-nucleotide ribosomal RNA is filed under the name Listeria monocytogenes. RNAcentral's name for it is "partial 23S ribosomal RNA". It matches the Rfam family "Bacterial large subunit ribosomal RNA", at positions 409 to 1529 of the family's 2925-position model. Lineage: Bacteria; Bacillati; Bacillota; Bacilli; Caryophanales; Listeriaceae. The record is from RNAcentral.
UGAGUACGGCGGAACACGUGAAAUUCCGUCGGAAUCCGGGAGGACCAUCUCCCAAGGCUAAAUACUCCCUAGUGACCGAUAGUGAACCAGUACCGUGAGGGAAAGGUGAAAAGCACCCCGGAAGGGGAGUGAAACAGUUCCUGAAACCGUGUGCCUACAAGUAGUUAGAGCCCGUUAAUGGGUGAUAGCGUGCCUUUUGUAGAAUGAACCGGCGAGUUACGAUUUGUUGCAAGGUUAAGCGGAAAAAGCGGAGCCGUAGCGAAAGCGAGUCUGAAUAGGGCGCAUAAGUAACAGGUCGUAGACCCGAAACCAGGUGAUCUACCCAUGUCCAGGAUGAAGGUAAGGUAAUACUUACUGGAGGUCCGAACCCACGCACGUUGAAAAGUGCGGGGAUGAGGUGUGGGUAGCGGAGAAAUUCCAAUCGAACUUGGAGAUAGCUGGUUCUCUCCGAAAUAGCUUUAGGGCUAGCCUCGAGGUAAAGAGUCAUGGAGGUAGAGCACUGUUUGGACUAGGGGCCCUUCUCGGGUUACCGAAUUCAGAUAAACUCCGAAUGCCAUGUACUUAUACUCGGGAGUCAGACUGCGAGUGAUAAGAUCCGUAGUCGAAAGGGAAACAGCCCAGACCACCAGUUAAGGUCCCCAAAUAUAUGUUAAGUGGAAAAGGAUGUGGGGUUGCUUAGACAACCAGGAUGUUGGCUUAGAAGCAGCCACCAUUGAAAGAGUGCGUAAUAGCUCACUGGUCGAGUGACCCCGCGCCGAAAAUGUACCGGGGCUAAACAUAUUACCGAAACUGUGGAUGAACCUCUUUAGAGGUUCGUGGUAGGAGAGCGUUCUAAGGGCGGUGAAGUCAGACCGGAAGGACUGGUGGAGCGCUUAGAAGUGAGAAUGCCGGUAUGAGUAGCGAAAGAAGGGUGAGAAUCCCUUCCACCGAAUAUCUAAGGUUUCCUGAGGAAGGCUCGUCCGCUCAGGGUUAGUCGGGACCUAAGCCGAGGCCGAUAGGCGUAGGCGAUGGACAACAGGUAGAGAUUCCUGUACCAGUGCUAAUUGUUUAACCGAUGGGGUGACACAGAAGGAUAGGGAAUCGCACGAAUGGAAAUGUGCGUCCAAGCAGUGAGUGUGAG